RNAcentral lists this transfer RNA (72 nucleotides) under Camelus bactrianus (Bactrian camel). It matches the Rfam family "tRNA". Rfam says of the family: Transfer RNA (tRNA) molecules are approximately 80 nucleotides in length. Their secondary structure includes four short double-helical elements and three loops (D, anti-codon, and T loops). The record is from Rfam by way of RNAcentral. RNAcentral also lists the same sequence under 2 other names. Lineage: Eukaryota; Metazoa; Chordata; Mammalia; Artiodactyla; Camelidae.
GAGGGUAUAGCUCAGUGGUAGAGUAUGUGCUUAGCAUGCACAAGGUCCUAAGUUCAAUCCUCAGUACCUCCA